GUAGCUGUAGCUCAGUGGCAGAGUGCUUGCCUAGCAUGCAUGAGGCCCUGGGUUCAAUUCUCAGCACCACA
This 71-nucleotide transfer RNA is filed under the name Ictidomys tridecemlineatus (thirteen-lined ground squirrel). RNAcentral's name for it is "Spermophilus tridecemlineatus (thirteen-lined ground squirrel) tRNA". It matches the Rfam family "tRNA". From Rfam's summary of the family: Transfer RNA (tRNA) molecules are approximately 80 nucleotides in length. Their secondary structure includes four short double-helical elements and three loops (D, anti-codon, and T loops). The record is from Rfam by way of RNAcentral. Lineage: Eukaryota; Metazoa; Chordata; Mammalia; Rodentia; Sciuridae.